RNAcentral lists this long non-coding RNA (1616 nucleotides) under Vitis vinifera (wine grape). Its description in RNAcentral is "long non-coding RNA (VVIN_LNC004464)". The record is from RNAcentral. Lineage: Eukaryota; Viridiplantae; Streptophyta; Magnoliopsida; Vitales; Vitaceae.
UAUAUAUAUCAGGCACAAAAGAGGUUGUUUCCCGAGAUAAGACGUCCAUAGAAAUAAGCUGCAAAAUUACAAGCAGCUCUUGACUUUUGGAAUGGUGAUCAAAUGAAUCUUCCACAAUUCUCAAACUGAUCAUUUGGCCCUUACUCAGCCAAAGUGCUUUGGGAAGGGCAAUUACAAUAAAAUACCCUUCUGAUAUAUACCAUAUUAUAGUCGUCAAACACUGAGGUUCAAAAGUUUUUUUCUCCAAAAGAUUGGGCUUAGAACUAAUCCUUGCCCAAGGGAUUAUGGUUAUCAUCAGAAAACAAAAUGUAGUAUCUCACUUCACUCCACAAUCCACAUAUACAUAGCAAAAUUGUCCAUAUCAAUGCAAAAACCAUUGAUGUAAUCCAGUCAUAACUAGAAAUUGAUUUUUCACUCUCCCAAUGGUUAUCACACUCGCCACCAGUCCAUGCCCUUAAUCACAUUGGCAUAUCAAAUGGCUGCCUUUUUCCUUUUUGUAAAAGCAUGAGAUAAAUUACCUCAAGUAAAUAAUUUCACGGAUCAAUAAAAUUUGUUCAAAAUUUUCCAUUACAUUAUGAAAUAAGGGAAUGUUUUGAGGUCUUCUUCAAAAACAGUUUUUGAUAACAGUUCUUAAAAACAAUUUUGAAUUGUUUUUAAGAAUAAAAUCUGUUUUUUCCUCAAAACAAAUUUUAAUUGUUUUUAAGAAUAAAAUUCUGUUUGGAAAUUCAAAUAUGAAAAAUAGUUUUUCCCACUUAUUCUCCAAGAAGGUACUAUGUGCUUAUGUACGAUAUAGAAGUUUACAAAGUAUUAUUCAUGUCUUCAUUCAUUGCUGAGAUCAUUCUACAAAAAACAACUGAAAACACUUAAAAUUUGUUCUAAAAAACAACUCAUUUUUAGAACAAAUUCUCAGAAAACUGUUUUCUGUUUUGCUAACCAUGUUUUGCGAGUUAUACAACUGUUUCAUGUUCUAAAGAACAGAAGAGAGUGUUUUCAAAAACAAUUGCCAAACAUGGCCUAAAAUCCUCAUGUUUUGUUUUGGGUCCAGUUUAAAGAAUGUGAAGUGUCCAAAUUUUAUAAUAAAACCUGUUACUGAUCGGCUCUGAUAUGUGGCCUUGUUACUGUGCCACACUACUAUCAUGGUAUGACAAAAUUUACUAAUUAUAUAUAUUUUUUUUACUUUAAUUUUGACCCCAGCAAAAGAAGGAAAAAAGAAACAAAAGGCAAACAACAAGAAACAAAAGAUUCCUCUUAAUCACACCACUUCCUGCAUGGAAGGGAGGAUGUUCCCAUAAGAAGUCAGCAUGAGAUGAUAAACAAAAAUAGAAACAGGAUGAUAAAAAGUGUUAAUUAGUAUUUACUGUCUUAAAUAUAGGUGAGAUGGCUUUGUGUGCAUGCAUAAAUUUUCUACACUAAUGAUUGACAAUACAUAAGGAAUUUUCCAAACCAAAAAAUUAUAAAUAACGGUUAAAAUUAGCCAUCACAUGUGUUGGAGGUAUCAUAAUAUAAACAGGGGCUUAUACUUUUUUUUAAAAAUCUUAUACGUGAUAUAAUCUGCACCUCUGUUUUGGGGCAAACAAAUUUACAAAUAAGGUUAUGGGUAUCCAUGAUGGCUUUUU